GGAAUCCCCUUCUGUUUCCCUGUGUUUAAUGCCGUUGCCGGGCCCACGGUGGCGCCGGGCCAGGGCGCAGGGAGUUCCGGAGGCAGCGGCGGCUCCAAGGCCCGCGCGCCCCCGUGUAGGCCCGGGGCGCUCCUGCGGCCACCGCGGGCCCCUGUGCGUCCGGGCCGCGGCCCCUGCGCCCCUUGCGCCCCUCGCGCCCUCAGCCUCCUCUGGGCCGUGUUUAUAGCUGCUGCCCGAGAGACGCUACCCGGGUUUUAUUUUAAGGGCUGGUGAUGACUAACGAAGUUAAAAGGAGCUUAGGACAGAAAACAAGACUAUUUUUAGGUGACUGUUGUUUCUGCGGAUUAUUGGGGCGAAUACACCCAGAGGAGCUCACCAUUCUCCAAGGCCCUCUGGCCGCUGGACCCUCGCUCCCGGAGCGCCCUGGACGUCCACCCACUCAGGCUCCUCUCCAGACGGGGAUCCCGCAGCCUGGGCUCUGUGUCCAAGUUCCAGUGCUGUGGGCCGUCGGGGACUGGGUCAGGGGGCCCCCGGAGCUCAGGCCCUGUUGGAGUGCUCCCCGCCCACCCUGGGGGACCCUUGGGGUCAGGAGAGCCUCCCAGAGCUCAGGCCCUGCCGGAGUGAGCCCCAUCUGCCCUGGGAUGGGGUAGCUGGGAUGUUCCAUCCUCUGGAGCAUCUGGGGCACCGCUGCAGGGUAGAGGCUCCUGGGCAACUGUCUCACUCCCCACUUUGCUCUUCCUAUUACUCAGCUGGGCAACCAGGUGCCACUUCUUGUGCCUCAGUUUCACCCCAGACAUCUGCGAGUCAAGUGUGAGUGCUCCAUUCUUGCCGGAUGCAUAUGGGGAGCCAUCCCAGGGGCCACUGAACCCCCUCCUGUAGGAACACUGAGCCUCCAGCUGCUCCCCAGGGGCAGAUGUGCGAGCUUCCCGGCAGGACACAGCAGAGGCCUUGUCUCAUCGACUGCCCCGCCAGAACUGGGCCUGGGCACCCAGUCAGCACCAGUACCAGGUCUAAAGCCCCCAUCAUCAGUGAGUCAGGCCACUUCCUGCACUGGGCCCUUGCAGAGACAUCACGGACAAAGGCAGACUGCUCGGCGUGGCACCUGAAGGUCCUAGUCCCGGAGCCUACUGUGCCUACUGUGAUGGCCUCAGCUGCCGGUUGGCUUCUAGCCCGGAGAACAUUCCAUCGCCUUGGAAAGGACACGGAUCUGCUCUGCCUGUGGAGUGCCCGCGCACGGCGCCAGGUCUCGCUGGUUUACGCACAGCCGCGUGGAGAGUGGGGUCUCGUGUCUCCAGCUACUGCCGCUCCACUCUCCGUUUUCCCUUCUUUUCCUCAGCUUUGUUUCCCAUAUUUCCAAGCUCUGUUGCAUCUUCCUCAUGGAUUCCCUUUUCUCAUUAGCAAACACCCUUCUUCAUCUCUAAUUACACUUUUUGGGGUAAAAAUCCAUCUUGUCUGACAUCAGUACAAGCCUCUCCAGCUCCCGUCUGGCUGCGCUUUGUACAAUUCAUCGCUUUCCACCCUGUUAGUCCAUCUGCUCCUUGAACCCACAGAGCGUCUCCUCUUGGAUUGUGGGGCUUUUGUUUGUUGGCUUGGCUUUUGCCCACUUGACAAUGUGCCUUUUGAUCGGCUCCUUCGAUUGAUCUACAUUUAAUGUCAUCAUUGGUAGAGUUGGAUUCACACCUGCUGCAUUUUACUCUUUUGUUUUCUGCUUCUCUCCUGUCUUUCUGGUCCUUCUGUUCUCCCUUCAUCUUUUUUUUUUUUUUGUAAAUGCUAAGGGCCUACUUCUUUAAAAGAUUCAUUUAUUUAUUAUUUGAGAGAGAUAAAGAGAGGAGGAGAGAGAGUUUGAGCACUUGCGUUCAGGGGGAGGAGGGAUAGAGGGGGAGCAUCCUAAGCAGACCCCCGCUGAGCAGGGAGCCCCACUCAGGGCUGAUCCCAGGACCCUGAGAUCACAACCUGAGCCCAAGUCAUGAGUCUGAUGCUAAGUGCACUGAGCCCCCGGGUGCCUGUGACUCUUCUGAUGUAGCGUUUUAAUCACGGUCAACUUGAGAUUUACAGCAGCUUCACCCCAGUGAUGGGUGUGAACACCAGUCCUGGGGGGUUAUUCCCUUUCCCUUUCUUAUGAGACUGUCACAUACGCUAUAAGUCCUAAUGGCACGAACCCAGCGACACCCUGUAAUAAUAUCACUUUGCCAUCCGGAUGCAUUUCCUUACUUCCG
Long non-coding RNA from Vulpes vulpes (red fox), 2216 nucleotides. The record is from Ensembl. Lineage: Eukaryota; Metazoa; Chordata; Mammalia; Carnivora; Canidae.